UACGGGGGAUGCAAGCGUUAUCCGGAAUCAUUGGGCGUAAAGCGCCUGUAGGUUGUUUAAUAAGUCUGUUGUUAAAGACUGGGGCUUAACCCCAGGAAAGCAAUGGAAACUACUAGACUAGAGUAUGGUAGGGGUAAAGGGAAUUUCUAGUGUAGCGGUGAAAUGCGUAGAUAUUAGAAAGAACACCGGUGGCGAAAGCGCUUUACUGGACCAUUACUGACACUCAGAGGCGAAAGCUAGGGUAGCCAAAGGGAUUAGAUACCCCUGUAGUCCUAGCCGUAAACGAUGGAUACUAGAUGUUGUAUUUAUUUUACAGUAUCGUAGCUAACGCGUUAAGUAUCCCGCCUGGGGAGUACGCUCGCAAGGGUG
Molecule: ribosomal RNA, 369 nt
Filed under: uncultured phototrophic eukaryote
Lineage: Eukaryota
Description: SSU rRNA
Rfam family: Bacterial small subunit ribosomal RNA
Source: RNAcentral